Molecule: small RNA, 904 nt
Filed under: uncultured zygomycete
Lineage: Eukaryota; Fungi
Description: eukaryotic LSU rRNA
Rfam family: Eukaryotic large subunit ribosomal RNA (bases 620-904)
Source: RNAcentral
CUUGGUCAUUUAGAGGAAGUAAAAGUCGUAACAAGGUUUCCGUAGGUGAACCUGCGGAAGGAUCAUUCAUAAUAAGUGUUUUAUGGCACUUUUUAAAUCCAUAUCCACCUUGUGUGCAAUGUCAGUUGUUCUCUUUUUUGAGAAUGACCAAACAUCAACUUAUUCUUUAACUCUUUGUCUGAAAAAUAUUAUGAAUAAAAUAAUUCAAAAUACAACUUUCAACAACGGAUCUCUUGGCUCUCGCAUCGAUGAAGAACGCAGCGAAAUGCGAUACGUAAUGUGAAUUGCAGAAUUCAGUGAAUCAUCGAAUCUUUGAACGCAUAUUGCGCUCUUUGGUAUUCCGAAGAGCAUGCUUGUUUGAGUAUCAGUAAACACCUCAAAGACUUCAAUUUGUUUUGAAUGGCUUUGGACUUGAGCAAUCCCAACACCAGUCUUUACGAUCGGUGGAGGGUUGCUUGAAAUGCAGGUGCAGCUGGACAUUCUCCUGAGCUAAAAGCAUAUUUAUUUAGUCCCGUCAAACGGAUUAUUACUUUUGCUGCAGCUAACAUAAAGGGAGUUUGACCGUAUUGGCUGACUGAUGCAGGAUUUCACAAGGGUCGGCAACGAUUCUUGUAAAACUCGAUCUCAAAUCAAGUAAGACUACCCGCUGAACUUAAGCAUAUCAAUAAGCGGAGGAAAAGAAACUAACAAGGAUUCCCCUAGUAACGGCGAGUGAAGCGGGAUGAGCUCAAAUUUAAAAUCUGGCUGGUUUACUAGUCCGAAUUGUAGUUUAUAGAAGCGUUUUCGGUGGCAGCCUGGGUAUAAGUCCUUUGGAAUAGGGUAUCAUAGAGGGUGAGAAUCCCGUCUUUGACUCAGUGCAUGCUACUAUGUGAUACGUUUUCAAAGAGUCGAGUUGUUUGGGAAU